AGAGCAGAACCCCUAAGAUGUGCCUGACUGGAUGGAGGGACCCUUCUCUCAUCACUGGUAAUGCAAAACCUGGUCUUUGUCCAAAAGAGUCUUCAAAUCAUCUAUUUUUGUUCUGGUAUUGAAGGUGACUAACACAGAAGGGCCCAGUUCAGAACUAGACACAUGCACACAUCAGUAACAACUGCAGCAAUAACUCCUUCAUUCUUGCACUUACUCACAGAGACGUGGUUCCAACACGAGGCACCGCUUGCGUGUGACACACCAACUGGAUCUGUACUCCACAUCGCCACACACGCAGAUGCUUCCCUUAAACGACUGCAGUUUGUCACCAUUCUGCUCCAACACAUCCACUGUACAUUGGUUUUAUGGCUCUACUUGGGAUUGCUAUUACAAUAUUCUGGAGUAUUUUUCUGUUUUUUUGUCAGGGAAAUGCUCAUCAUGUACUGCUACCUGGAGACCAGCAAUUCCAGCUCAUAAGCUUUCAAAUUUGUUUUCACUCUGCAAGGGAGUGAGAAGCCCAUCUUUUGAGAGGCCUCACAGCUCAUCUUUAGCAAAUUUCUUAACUUUCAGAAUAAAGAAAUCCCCAGACUUUGACUUCCA
Pogoniulus pusillus (Red-fronted tinkerbird) is the source of this 600-nucleotide long non-coding RNA. RefSeq lists it as uncharacterized. Lineage: Eukaryota; Metazoa; Chordata; Aves; Piciformes; Lybiidae. The record is from RefSeq and is a predicted model, not a curated record. The transcript is spliced from 3 exons.